This 2754-nucleotide long non-coding RNA is filed under the name Pelobates cultripes (western spadefoot toad). The record is from RNAcentral. Lineage: Eukaryota; Metazoa; Chordata; Amphibia; Anura; Pelobatidae.
GCACCCUUCAAUUCUUAUGAUAUAUCUGUUUACCAAAAUAGUGUUUUUUAUACGUAUACUAAAAAUGUAAAAGAAUACUCCUGUAUAAAACAAAAUACUCAACUCGCUGUUUCUCAUAACCACAGAACGACAUUUGAGGCAGAUUCACUAUGUGAUGCGCAAUAAAAGCGGGGAAACUACUAGCCAAAAAACUCUAAUCUAACUAUCUCCAGACCAAAAUCCACUACAUUCACUGCAAAACCCGGGAUAAACUGUGCAACCAUCACCACAUAGUAGAAGAGUUGGCACAAUUUUACAAACAUCUAUAUAAUUUAAAGGAUGACCACGAAACUUAUACACCAAACAAACUAGAUAUAGACAAUUUCCUGAAUGACAUGCAUCUUCCAUCGCUCACUGCCCAACAAGCUCAAUCCUUAGACGCCCCACUCGAGGAAGACGAAAUUAGAUCUGCAAUCCGCACACUUCCAAAGCAUAAGGCACCGGGGCCAGAUGGCCUGUCUAACUAUUAUUACAUUAAGUUAACUAACAUACUAGCGCCACAUCUCACAAGACUUUUUAAUGACAUUAGGUUGUUUCGGCGCUAUACCUCCAGAGAUGUUAGAGGCACAUGUAGUAACCUUACCAAAACCACACAAGCCCCCUUCCCUAUGCGCCAAUCUACGUCCUAUAUCGCUGCUCAAUGCAGACCUUAAGCUAUACGCCAAACUCCUUGCAUCCCGAAUCAAACCACUACUACUGCAGCUAGUUUCGGCUGAACAAGCAGGGUGUGUCCCGAACCGGAAGGUGGGGGACAAUACCCGAUUGGCAUUGGACCUGAUAGAAUGGGCGAACAACAGCUCUCAGAUGGGCAUUCUCUUGGCUUUGGACGCGGAGAAGGCCUUUGACCACCUUAACUGGUCCUAUAUGGACGCCACGCUCUCCGGGGACUUUGUCCGGAGCAUUAAGGUACUCUACUCCAACCCCACAGCAAAAGUCUUUAAUACUGGCUUCCUGUCAUCUACAUUCCAAAUCUCCAAUGGCACGCGGCAAGGUUGCCCUCUCUCACCCCUUAUAUUUAUUCUUUGCCUAGAACCUCUAAUCCGCAGCAUUAAAUCACUACGGCAAUUAUAGGCCUGUCGACCCAAGAUGAGGAAAAUAAAACUAGCGUUAUUUGUGAAUGACAUUUUGAUUUUUUUGUGAGAACCGCUUAACUCCCUGCCACCACUAAUGCGCCCGCUUUCCCUAUAUGGUCAAAUUUCAUAUUAUAAAAAUAAUGCGUCAAAAACACAGGCGCUACCCAUUAAUUUACCCAAACAACUUAAGCAAAUCUUACAAACCAAGCACAAUUUUGAUUGGCGAGUUAAAUCGCUGACAUAUUUGGGUAUAAAACUUACGACACAAUCAGGGAAAACCACAUGGAAUAAAUGCCAUCAAGAUGAUGGUCGUCCCUCACGUCCUAUACCUUUUCAGGACAGUCCCACUACCCCUACCUAGGAAUAUCACAAGACGUAUGCAAAAGCUUAUAAACUCUCAUGUCUGGAAAAAGAAACGCCCAAGGGUGGCGCAACAAAUGUCAUGGCUUCCGCUUAAUGCAGGAGGCCUGGGAAUCCCUUGUGUCCACAACUAUCAUAGAGCUUCGGUAUUGUCACAGGGUGUUGACCUUUUAGCAAAACGGAUGAACCCGGUGUGGCUCAAACUAGAGAAUGCAUGCAUUUCACCUGCUACUUUAGCAAGUCUGCUAUGGACCAACUCUGACACUACCCCCCACGCAACUUUAUGAGGUGUGCCCCAAUUCAGGCCAAUUAGGAAAUUUCACCUGACCUCCCAGUGGGAUCUUGGAGCAUGGGGUGCAUAGCAAAAGUCUCUGAUUUGUAUGACUUACGAGGAAUUAAACAAUUCCCGGACUUGCAAAAUUAAUUCUCAUUAGCUCAUAGGGAACUAUUUACAUACAUUCGCCUCAAAAGUAUCCUUCUCUCCCGACAAAUGGAACCCCAGGCACAAUUAUCCCUGCAUAGGGCAUGUUUAAUCUCCUUGCAAAAGGAGCAACAAAUUUAAAAUCCCUGUCCCUAUGUUACUCAACUCAUAGUGAACCUAAGGAAGAACAAAAGCAACCCUAUAUGCGCAGCUGGGAAAAAGAACUUGGUAAGAUGUUCCAACUCACACAAUGGCAGGAGGCUAUCAGAUCAAGGCAGCCUCCAAAAGCAUAUCCAUGUGGGAAGCGCAUGCCAAAUUACGGAUGAGGUGUUAUUUGGUGCCCCUCAGACUUUUUACAAAUCUAUAAGGAUGCUAAUCCUACCAGUUGGAGAUAUCAAACCGCCAUAGGCUUUCUUAGCCAUGUAUUUUGGGAAUGUUUAGAGUUAAAGCAGUUCUGGAAUUCAAUAACAGCGUUGACAGAUAAUUGCCUGACACAUUAUCCCCACCACCCACCACGGCACGAACUCCGCAAGACAUGUACAACCCAAGCAACACAAUACGAAACAUCCGAUGAUACACAACUACAGCCAUACUUCCUACAAAAUCCCAUCUUCCUGACUCAUCCGCCACAAUGGCAACAAGUCAAAGAGGGUACCACUUUAAACAUAUCAAUUACCAUUGGACCGCAAGUACCUGAAAACGUAAGCCCCAAAAUAGGCACGAUAAAAAUGACUAGUUGUCUACAGAGACACCCACAACGGAAAACUUGCACACCGUAAGCGCUACUCUGCAUAAUAACAGAAACAAGACGGCUUUGUAUUGUGUACCCCCCUUGUCUUCCUUAACCUGCAACUACAAAAU